ACGAAGGGGGCUAGCGUUGCUCGGAAUCACUGGGCGUAAAGGGCGCGUAGGCGGCGUUUUAAGUCGGGGGUGAAAGCCUGGGGCUCAACCACAGAAGGGCCUUCGAUACUGGGUCGCUUGAGUAUGGUAGAGGUUGGAGGAACUGCGAGUGUAGAGGUGAAAUUCGUAGAUAUUCGCAGGAACACCGGUGGCGAAGGCGGCUAACUGGCCCGUUACUGACGCUGAGGCGCGAAAGCGUGGGGAGCAAACAG
This 251-nucleotide ribosomal RNA is filed under the name uncultured prokaryote. Its description in RNAcentral is "partial 16S rRNA". It matches the Rfam family "Bacterial small subunit ribosomal RNA", at positions 525 to 775 of the family's 1533-position model. The record is from RNAcentral.